AGUGAACGCUGGCGGUAGGCCUAACACAUGCAAGUCGAACGGCAGCACAGUAAGAGCUUGCUCUUACGGGUGGCGAGUGGCGGACGGGUGAGGAAUACAUCGGAAUCUACUUUUUUGUGGGGGAUAACGUAGGGAAACUUACGCUAAUACCGCAUACGACCUACGGGUGAAAGCAGGGGAUCUUCGGACCUUGCGCGAUUGAAUGAGCCGAUGUCGGAUUAGCUAGUUGGCGGGGUAAAGGCCCACCAAGGCGACGAUCCGUAGCUGGUCUGAGAGGAUGAUCAGCCACACUGGAACUGAGACACGGUCCAGACUCCUACGGGAGGCAGCAGUGGGGAAUAUUGGACAACGGGCGCAAGCCUGAUCCAGCCAUACCGCGUGGGUGAAGAAGGCCUUCGGGUUGUAAAGCCCUUUUGUUGGGAAAGAAAAGCAGCAGGUUAAUACCCCGCUGUUCUGACGGUACCCAAAGAAUAAGCACCGGCUAACUUCGUG
This 492-nucleotide ribosomal RNA is filed under the name uncultured bacterium. Its description in RNAcentral is "partial 16S ribosomal RNA". It matches the Rfam family "Bacterial small subunit ribosomal RNA", at positions 29 to 507 of the family's 1533-position model. The record is from RNAcentral.